AAACCCGGAAAGCUUUCGGGUGAGUACUAGUGGCGCACGGGUGAGGAACGCGUGGAUAAUCUGCCAAAGAGUGGGGGAUAACUAGUCGAAAGAUUAGCUAAUACCGCAUAAGACCACAGGAGCUGCGGCUCAAGGGGUCAAAGGUUUUUCGCUCUAAGAUAAGUCCGCGUAAGAUUAGCUAGUUGGUGAGGUAACGGCUCACCAAGGCGACGAUCUUUAACUGGUCUGAGAGGAUGAUCAGUCACACUGGAACUGAGACACGGUCCAGACUCCUACGGGAGGCAGCAGUAGGGAAUAUUGCACAAUGGAGGAAACUCUGAUGCAGCGACGCCGCGUGAGUGAUGAAGGCCUUCGGGUCGAAAAGCUCUGUCGUAGGGGAAUAACACAAUGAAUGUACCCUGUAAGAAAGGAUCGGCUAACUUCGUGCCAGCAGCCGCGGUAAGACGAGGGAUCCUAGCGUUGUUCGGAAUUAUUGGGCGUAAAGCGGAUGUAGGUGGCUUUGUAAGUCAGAUGUGAAAGCCCAGGGCUCAACCCUGGAAGAGCAUUUGAUACUGCGAAGCUUGAGUGUCGGAGAGGUUACUAGAAUUGUUGGUGUAGUGGAGAAAUACGUAGAUAUCAACAGGAAUACCGGAGGCGAAGGCGGGUAACUGGCCGAACACUGACACUGAGAUCCGAAAGCGUGGGGAUCAAACAGGAUUAGAUACCCUGGUAGUCCACGCCGUAAACGAUGGAUACUUGUUGUUCGAGGUAUUGACGGGUUCAGUGACGAUGCUAACGCCU
This 780-nucleotide ribosomal RNA is filed under the name uncultured Bdellovibrio sp. Its description in RNAcentral is "bacterial SSU rRNA". It matches the Rfam family "Bacterial small subunit ribosomal RNA", at positions 70 to 860 of the family's 1533-position model. Lineage: Bacteria; Pseudomonadati; Bdellovibrionota; Bdellovibrionia; Bdellovibrionales; Pseudobdellovibrionaceae. The record is from RNAcentral.